CGAGCUGCUUCUUUUGCAGGCAACUCUGGCGCUGUGGGUGAUUGUCCAGGUGCCCGAGUGCCACGAGGCAAUGAUCCUUUAUUCAGCCCGCCUGUUUGUGACUCUGCUCUUCCAAGUUGUCAUCACCACACAGCAGGUGCCAGAGGAAGUUGAUCACUUCUGGAGAGCAUGCCGGGAGGAACACCGCCUUCCCACCAACCCCAACAGGUUUGCAGUGCAGGCCAUGAAGGCUCUGCUCUGUCGACUGCGCUGUGACAAUGAGGUGGUGGCUAUGGAGCGCAAGCGUGGCUGGGACACGCUGCUGUGUGCUGACACCCAGCACUAUGCAGUGGGUCUGCUGGCCAGAGAGAUGCGCCAGGUCUUGAUCCCCUUCUGCUCCCGCAUUGCAUUCCACCUGCUCAAACCACUCAGCAGGGAGGAGCCAUGCUGGGAUCUGCCCUUCCUGGCUUUCCUUGUGGAGGUGAGCCUGACGGCCAGCGCUGCCUCGCUGAGCUGCCUCCCGCCUCUCUGCCCUCUCGUAGCCGCAGCUGCCUGGGACGGUGCCCGCGCCCUGCGCUGCUGCCUGGGCCCAGCCCUGGGCGGUUCCGGGCUCCUGCCGGCCGGCUCCCCUGUCACUGCCCUGUGCCUUUCAGCUCCUCGAGUGCCUGGACUUAAGUAA
This 658-nucleotide long non-coding RNA is filed under the name Corvus moneduloides (New Caledonian crow). Its description in RNAcentral is "lncRNA (ENSCMUG00000018943.1)". Lineage: Eukaryota; Metazoa; Chordata; Aves; Passeriformes; Corvidae. The record is from RNAcentral.